AGUGAACGCUGGCGGCAUGCCUAACACAUGCAAGUCGAACGACAGCACAGUAAGUGCUUGCUCUUACGGGUGGCGAGUGGCGGACGGGUGAGGUAUACAUCGGAUUCCACUUUUUCGUGGGUGAUAACGUAGGGAAACUUCCUCUAAUCCCGCAUAUGUCCUACGUGUGAAAGCAGGCGUUCUUCUGACCUUUCGCGAUUGAAUGAGCCGAUGUCGGCUUAGCUAGUUGGCUGGGGAAAGGCCCAACAAGGCGACGAUCCGUAGCUGGUCUGAGAGGAUGUUCCGCCACACUGGAACUGAGAAACGGUCGCGACUCCUGCGGGAGGACGCAGUCGGGAAUAUUGCGCAAUGGGCGAAAGCCUGAUACAGCAAUACCGCGUGGGUGAAGAAGGACUUCGGGUUGUAAAGCCCUUUUGUUGGGAAAGAAAAGCAGCAGGUUAAUACGCCGCUGUUAUGACGGUACCGAAAGAAUAAGCACCGGCUAACUUCGUG
RNAcentral lists this ribosomal RNA (492 nucleotides) under uncultured bacterium. RNAcentral describes it as "partial 16S ribosomal RNA". It matches the Rfam family "Bacterial small subunit ribosomal RNA", at positions 29 to 507 of the family's 1533-position model. The record is from RNAcentral.